AUUGAACGCUGGCGGAAUGCUUUACACAUGCAAGUCGAACGGUAGAGGGGGCAACCCCUUGAGAGUGGCGAACGGGUGAGUAAUAUAUCGGAACGUGCCCAGUCGUGGGGGAUAACGUAGUGAAAAUUACGCUGAUACCGCAUACGAUCUAAGGAUGAAAGCGGGGGAUCGCAAGACCUCGCGCGACUGGAGCGGCCGAUAUCAGAUUAGGUAGUUGGUAGGGUAAAGGCCUACCAAGCCAACGAUCUGUAGCUGGUCUGAGAGGACGACCAGCCACACUGGAACUGAGACACGGUCCAGACUCCUACGGGAGGCAGCAGUGGGGAAUUUUGGACAAUGGGCGAAAGCCUGAUCCAGCCAUUCCGCGUGCAGGAUGAAGGCCCUCGGGUUGUAAACUGCUUUUGUACAGAACGAAAAGGUUUCUAUUAAUACUAGGAGCUCAUGACGGUACUGUAAGAAUAAGCACCGGCUAACUACGUG
RNAcentral lists this ribosomal RNA (480 nucleotides) under uncultured bacterium. RNAcentral describes it as "bacterial SSU rRNA". It matches the Rfam family "Bacterial small subunit ribosomal RNA", at positions 30 to 507 of the family's 1533-position model. The record is from RNAcentral.